GAGGAAAGUCCGGGCUCUAUUUAUAAAGGUAUAGCUCUAUAAAAUACAGUAUAGGUAACUAUAAGGAUCGUGCCACAGAAAUAUACCGCCUAAAUUAAUUAUGGGUAAGGGUGCAAUGGUGCGGUAAAAGCGUACCAGAGAUAUUGUUAAAGUAUUUGCUAGGUAAACCCCAUAUUUGAGUAAAGAGAUUAGUAUAUAGAUGUUUAGUAAGAUUUUUAUAAAUCUUGCAAAUUACUAUUUUUUAUAUAUUACUAUUCAUUGAUACUGCAGUAAGUGAUUGAUUUUACUUAAGAUUAAUAAUUACCCUUUUCGUUUUAACAUAAUAGUAUUUAAUUUCUGAAAAGAACUAAACCCGGCUUAU
This 361-nucleotide RNase P RNA is filed under the name Gredgaria maugeana. RNAcentral's name for it is "rnpB". The stretch from base 2 to 180 matches the Rfam family "Bacterial RNase P class A", at positions 44 to 222 of the family's 367-position model. The record is from RNAcentral. Lineage: Eukaryota; Rhodophyta; Florideophyceae; Ceramiales; Rhodomelaceae.